GGGGACGAUCGGUUUCGACAGAAAGCUCUUUCAAAAGACGGCAAGCAGACUUUGAUUCUAAGUCUUUGAUAAGAAUCAAAAAAUUAAAGCUAAUCAUUCUGAUUAUGCUCUAGCCUACGCGUAAGCUUAAGCUGGCAUCCUGAGAUUUGAUUCUCGACCGAAUCGACUGGGUGUAAACCCGUUCGAGAUGCCUUGCAGACUUUACUGAUUUAAAGGUUUACAGGAAAGACAAAUAAAUCUUACUUCAAAUUUUCUUGUUGGUUAGAUUAAAUUUGAAGGAAAUUAAAAAACCAAAUAAGCUUGUAGAAAUCUUUUAAAUGACUUUUUGGACGAGGGUUCGAUUCCCUCCGUCUCCACUU
RNAcentral lists this transfer-messenger RNA (359 nucleotides) under Candidatus Woesebacteria bacterium CG_4_9_14_3_um_filter_39_10. It matches the Rfam family "transfer-messenger RNA". Rfam says of the family: Bacterial tmRNA, also known as 10Sa RNA or SsrA, is named for its dual tRNA and mRNA-like properties. Its role is to liberate the mRNA from a stalled ribosome. To accomplish this part of the tmRNA is used as a reading frame that ends in a translation stop signal. The record is from RNAcentral. Lineage: Bacteria; Candidatus Woeseibacteriota.